AUGGCUCCCGAUUCUACGACGAUGAAGGUUUCCGUGCUGCUGAUGGCCACCGUCGUCCUGCUGGCCAUGGCUGUUCAUGGCAAAGGUGACGGCGGGUGCAUCCGGCGGGUCGACGAGAUCGAGACGCCGGUGCCCGGCUCCUGCCUCUGCUACGACAAGUGCGCCCGCAAGGGAGGAGACCAGCUGGCCGGGCUCACUGACGCGCAGUCCCAGAGCUGCUUCGUGGACUGCGUGCUCAGGGACGGCGGAUGGGUCUUCUGCGCUGACGACGGCGGAGGCGAGGCGGCCGCCACCGUCGCCCCCCAGCCCCCGAGGCUGGAUGUAGUGCUGAGCAGGCACGUGAGGGUACUGGUGACGAGGCCCAAGGUGUCGAGGAGCCGAAAGGAGAAGGAGGAGACGGAGGAGGUGCUGGUCGUGGAGAUGGGGUUCGGACCCGACGUCCACCAGAUAUCCUUCCUCCACGUGUGGCUGAACUUGCGCGAGGGCGAAGAGAAAACGCUAUUCGAAAACGCAGUGGCUGAGCCCCGGUACGCGGGCCAUUACGUGGUGCACAGGGAGGACAUCGUCCCCGGGCAAGACAAGGCGGCGCGCAAGCUCCCCAUCGGCGGCAACCUGGAAGCCAUUGGAGCCGACGGCAACAGGACGGUCAUGGUGUCGAUCGCUCCUUAUGUUUCCACCGGGAAGAAAGGGCCUUAUUGGUACGAGCGGCAGACGUAUUUUGUCCGCGGUGCCUACAUUGUAUACGAGCCUAAGGAGCAUGUUGGUAGUAGUAUUAACCACAACCAAGGGGGUACGGGCUUGAAUGAUCAGCUCGUCACGCGCUGGCAUUGA
This 831-nucleotide ribosomal RNA is filed under the name Triticum aestivum (bread wheat). RNAcentral describes it as "partial small subunit ribosomal RNA". The record is from RNAcentral. Lineage: Eukaryota; Viridiplantae; Streptophyta; Magnoliopsida; Poales; Poaceae.